UUUGUCGCAACUCGUGUUGUGCACUCCUAUCAAAACCCCAAAUAUCACAUCUUCUCUUAGAUGCUCAUCUAGAUGAACCAUUAGAAUUCCUUUUACCCGAUUCAGUAACCAAAAAAUGAGGCAGUUCAACCAAAGUCUCCUCAACUACUUUGGCUUUCUCAACCAACUCAUCAAACAUCUCUGUAUUUUGAGCUACCAAGUAAACCUGAAUGUCACGAUUAAGGCAGAAAUAAAAC
RNAcentral lists this long non-coding RNA (236 nucleotides) under Gossypium barbadense (sea-island cotton). RNAcentral's name for it is "long non-coding RNA (GBAR_LNC017205)". The record is from RNAcentral. Lineage: Eukaryota; Viridiplantae; Streptophyta; Magnoliopsida; Malvales; Malvaceae.